Molecule: long non-coding RNA, 5258 nt
Filed under: Medicago truncatula (barrel medic)
Lineage: Eukaryota; Viridiplantae; Streptophyta; Magnoliopsida; Fabales; Fabaceae
Description: long non-coding RNA (MTRU_LNC007744)
Source: RNAcentral
UUUUGGUUUUACUGUCUCUGAUUUUCAGACGGGGAUUCCUCUUCUCAGAUGUAAUAGUCGUGGCGACCUAUAUCCAGUCACCCCUCCCAACAAUUUUGUCGAUCUUACGUCCAGUCUAUGGCACGAUCGUCUUGGUCAUCCUGGCGUGUCUGUUUUAAAUUCCCUACGCAAGAAUAAAUUCAUAUGUUGUGAAACUUCUCAUAAUUCUGUCAUCUAUGACUCGUGUGUUUUAGGCAAACAAGUUAAAUUGCCAUUUUUUAAUUCUCAAACUGCUACUCUCAUGCCUUUUGAUAUUUUACAUAGUGACUUGUGGACUUCUCCUGUUUUAAGUUCUGCUGGCCAUAAAUAUUAUGUUUUAUUUUUAGACGACUUCACAAAUUUCUUGUGGACUUUUCCUAUUAGUAGAAAAUCUCAGGUUUUUGAAAUGUUCAAGUCACUUACUUCUCUUAUUCACACUCAAUUUUUGCAAAAUGUAAAAUCCUUCCAAUGUGACAAUGGCGGUGAAUAUAAUAAUGAGCUAUUUCAACAAUAUUGUAUUACUAAUGGCCUUAUUUUUCGCUUCUCUUGCCCUCACACAUCCUCCCAAAAUGGUAAAGCGGAACGAAAAAUAAGAACCAUUAAUAAUAUGAUUCGCACUAUGCUAGCUCACUCUUCUGUUCCCCCACAAUUUUGGCAUCAUGCACUUCACAUGGCAACUUAUUUGCUAAAUAUUCUUCCCUGUAAAACACUUCAAAAUCAAUCACCAACACAGCUCCUUUACCACCGUGAUCCCAGCUACACACAUUUACGAGUCUUUGGUUGUUUGUGUUAUCCAUUACUCCCAUCACCUACCAUUCAUAAAUUACAACCCCGUUCUACUCCGUGUGUCUUCUUAGGUUAUCCCCUGAAUCAUAGAGGUUACAAGUGUUUUGAUUUGUCUAACAGAAAGUUAAUAAUUUCGAGGCAUGUUAUCUUUGAUGAAACUCAAUUUCCCUUCACCAAAGUACACUACCCUUCCCCUCACUCCUAUGACUUUCUAGACAAUGACCUACACCCCUACCUCAUACAACAGUGGCAAACUCAACAUCCACCACCGGAUACUCCUAACCAACAACCAGCAACAACCACAAUGGCCAAACCAAUCGACCCAACUCCACUAAAUUCACAUACUACAAUCUCCCCUACCUUAACCUCACCAAUUCAACCACAUCCUCCACCACCUACCCGCACCAUCAUCACCCGUAGCAUGAAUGGUAUUACUAAACCCCGCACAAUGUUUAACUUAUCCCUUUCACACUCAAACCACACCAUCUCUCCCAUACCUAAAAAUCACAAACUAGCCUUAUCGUACCCGAAUUGGAAAUCCGCAAUGCAAUCUGAGUUUGAUGCACUUAUUAGAAAUAAGACGUGGGAUUUAGUUCCUCGCCCUAGAGAUGCUAAUCUUAUUCGAUGUAUGUGGAUUUUUAAACAUAAGAAAAAUUUUGAUGGGUCUUUUGAUCGCUAUAAGGCUCGCCUUGUUUGUGAUGGCAGGUCACAGGUUGCAGGUGUGGAUUGUGAUGAGACUUUCAGCCCGGUGGUAAAACCCGCUACCAUUCGAACAGUACUCACCAUUGCUCUCUCUCACUCAUGGCCCAUUCAUCAGCUGGAUGUUCAGAAUGCUUUUUUUGCAUGGUGAUCUUCACGAAACUGUCUACAUGCAUCAACCAUUGGGUUUUCGCGACUCUUGUCAUCCGGAUUACGUUUGUCGUUUGAAGAAGUCGCUUUAUGGUCUCAAGCAAGUGCCUCGAGCAUGGUACCAACGCUUUGCUGACUAUGUAACUACCAUUGGUUUUCGACAUAGCACAUCAGAUCAUUCUCUCUUCAUAUACCGACAGCAAUCCGACAUGGCCUACAUUCUGCUGUGGACGACAUCAUCCUUAUUACUUCCACUCAUGCCCUUCGCCAAUCCAUUAUGUCCCUCUUGGCAUCCGAGUUUGCAAUGAAGGAUUUGGGUCCUCUGAGCUAUUUUUUGGGUAUUGCCGUCUCUCGUCAUCCUGGUGGUCUCUUUCUCAGUCAAAGCACCUAUGCCUCUGAAAUCAUUGACCGUGCUGGGAUGCAAUCUUGCAAAUCAUCUGUCACCCCUGUUGACACUAAACAAAAACUCAGCACUUCAUCAGGCACACCUUAUGAAGAUCCAUCUCUCUAUCGUAGUCUUGCAGGAGCUUUACAAUACCUCACAUUCACUAGACCCGACAUCUCUUACGCUGUUUAGCAAGUUUGUCUUCACAUGCAUGCACCUAGUACAGAACACAUGCUUGCUCUAAAUCUCAUUCUUCGUUAUGUUCAGGGUACCGUACAUUUUGGACUACAUUUAUCACCAUCUCCCAUCACCAAACUCCUUUCCUACACUGACUCCGAUUGGGGUGGAUGUCCUGACACCCGACGUUCCACUUCUGGAUACUGUGUCUUUCUCGGUGACAACCUCAUCGCUUGGUCCUCCAAGAGACAACCCACUCUCUCUCGGUCUAGUGCUGAAGCGGAAUAUAGAGGUGUUGCUAAUGUUGUGUCUGAGUCAUGUUGGCUUCGUAAUCUCUUACUGGAGCUCCACUUUCCUAUUCCUCAGGCUACUUUGGUGUAUUGUGACAAUGUUAGUGCCAUCUACCUAUCUGGCAACCCUGUGCAGCAUCAACGUACCAAACACAUUGAAAUGGACAUACACUUUGUACGGGAAAAAGUAGCUCGUGGUCAGGCACGCGUCCUCCAUGUUCCAUCUCGACAUCAGAUUGCAGAUAUCUUCACCAAAGGGCUUCCUCGCAUUCUCUUUGAUGAUUUUCGGACCAGUCUCAGCGUCCGUGAACCUCCCGCUUCGACUGUGGGGGUCUGAUAGAAUAUUAUAUUUAAUAAAAUUAAUAGAAUAGAAUAUUCGGUCAUUAUUGGCUAUUAUUAGUUCCCUGUAAAUAGGCUGUAUCAUAAUUNUCGGUCAUUAUUGGCUAUUAUUAGUUCCCUGUAAAUAGGCUGUAUCAUAAUUAGUAAGUUGAUCAGACGUUACACAACAGUUGUAUAUAUUCUAUUUAGAUCAAUGAGAAAGGCAAGCAUUUUGUUAUCUUACAUGGUAUCACUCCUAACCGAUCCCUCUCUCUAAAUAUAUAUAUAUAUAAAAAAAAAAAAAAAAAGAGAGAAAGAAAGAAAAACAGAAGUCGUAGAACUCUGUUCUCCUUCUUCUCACGCACGCGCAGCGCCGCCGCACCCCUCCCUCUUACCUUGCGCCGCCGCCGCCUCUGUUGCCCUGUAAUCCGAUCGACCUCCGAUCCUUGACCAGCAGUGCUCGUGCGUCACUUCCUCCACUUCGACCGUGCCCACCGCGCCGUCGUCGCCCCCUUUCUCAAUCUGGUUGUGUUUCACCUCCGAUCACCUCCGUUUCUCUUCUUUCCGUGCUGUUCUACCUUAACCAUCACUCAUCAUGUCCGAUUCCGACCUCAAUGAUGACCAGAGCAGCGCCGCCGCUGCCUCUGCCUCCGCUGCUGCCGCUGCCUCCGCCGCUGUCAAUUCGACCAUUUUCAAAAAUGGCUUUCAUCCCGCUCUUGCUGUCUCCAAUAUUAGGAAUCACAUUCCUAUUAUUCUUGAGAUGGAAAAGGACCAAUAUGGAACUUGGGCGGAACUCUUCUGCAUUCAUGCUCGUUCUCAUCGAGUAUUGCAUCACAUUGUUCCCUCUGCAGACAAAACACCGCCACUACCUGCAAACGUCGAAUAUGAGCAAUGGACUACUCUAGAUGCCACCGUGCUUCAGUGGAUUUAUUCCACAAUUUCCACUUACUUACUGAUGACUAUUUUGGAACCAAACUCCACUGCGGUAGCCGCAUGGAAUCGUUUGGCAGACAUCUUUCAAGACAAUCAAAACGCCCGUGCUGUCACUCUCGAGCAAGAGUUCUCCAACACCCGCAUGGAAGACUUUCCCAACGUCUCUGCAUACUGCCAGUGUCUCAAGAUGCUCUCUGACCAAUUGAGGAAUGUCGGCUCUCCCGUCAACAAUCACCGUCUGGUACUCCAACUGAUAUCUGGACUCCCUGAAGCUUAUCGUAGUGUGGCCACCCUGAUUCGCCAGAGUAAUCCUCUUCCUGCAUUUUAUCAGGCUCGCUCCAUGCUCACCUUGGAAGAAUCUGGCAUGGCUAAAAUGGCUAACACCGGCUCUCCUGCUGCCUUACACACCACUCAGCAGUGACCUCCUGAGGACACCUCUCAACGUGGCAACCGUCGUCCCAACAACCACAACAACCGGUCUCGUUCUCGUGGCAAUCAGGGUCGCGGAGGGGGGCGUGGUAACCGUAGCAGACCUCAAUCCGGAGCUCCCAACACCUCCCCAUCCUGGUCUUCUCCUCCUUGGGCGCAGCAACAACAAUACCCUGCCUGGCAAUCAUGGGGUUGGAUCCCACCACCAUGGGCCAUACCUCCGUGUCCGUAUCCCACAUCUCAGUGGACACACCCUACUGGCCCUACCGCUCCUCCGAGACAGCCGGGCAUCCUAGGACAGCGUCCUCAGGCGUAUGCAGCUUCUACUUCAUCUCCUACACCAAUUGACAUUGAGGCAGCUAUGCACACCAUGUCUCUACAUCCUCCUGAUACUCAGUGGUACAUGGAUACCGGCGCAACAUCUCACACGACAUCAUCACGAGGUAAUCUCUCGUCUUAUUCUCCUAUAAGUCAUUUAAAUCAGAAAAUUAUUGUUGGCAGUGGCCAUGGAAUUCCAAUUCACGGCACCGUACACACACAACUCACAACCUCUAACCAACCCAUUCACUUAAAACAUGUCCUUCAUGCCCCGAAAAUUAUUAAAAAUUUAAUCUCUGUAAGACAACUCACCACUGACAACAAUGUAUCUGUUUCUUUUGACCCCUUUGGUUUUACUGUCUCUGAUUUUCAGACGGGGAUUCCUCUUCUCAGAUGUAAUAGUCGUGGCGACCUAUAUCCAGUCACCCCUCCCAACAAUUUUGUCGGUCUUACGUCCAGUCUAUGGCACGAUCGUCUUGGUCAUCCUGGCGUGUCUGUUUUAAAUUCCCUACGCAAGAAUAAAUUCAUAUGUUGUGAAACUUCUCAUAAUUCUGUCAUCUGUGACUCGUGUGUUUUAGGCAAACAAGUUAAAUUGCCAUUUUUUAAUUCUCAAACUGCUACUCUCAUACCUUUUGAUAUUUUACAUAGUGACUUGUGGACUUCUCCUGUUUUAAGUUCUGCUGGCCAUAAAUAUUAUGUUCUAUUUUUAGACGACUUCACAAAUUUCUUGUGGACCUUUCCUAUUAGUAGAAAAU